UACGUAGGGGGCAAGCGUUGUCCGGAUUUAUUGGGCGUAAAGAGCGUGUAGGCGGCCUGAAAGGUCAGCUGUGAAAACUCGAGGCUCAACCUCGAGACGUCGGUUGAAACCAUCUGGCUAGAGUCCGGAAGAGGAGAGUGGAAUUCCCGGUGUAGCGGUGAAAUGCGUUGAUAUCAGGAGGAACACCCAUGGCGAAGGCAGCUGACUGGGCAUUAUCUGACGCUGAGGCGCGAAAGCGUGGGUAGCAAACAGG
RNAcentral lists this ribosomal RNA (253 nucleotides) under uncultured bacterium. RNAcentral describes it as "partial 16S ribosomal RNA". It matches the Rfam family "Bacterial small subunit ribosomal RNA", at positions 524 to 776 of the family's 1533-position model. The record is from RNAcentral.